CCGAGUUUACAACUCCCAAACCCCUGUGAACAUACCACUUGUUGCCUCGGCGGAUCAGCCCGCUCCCGGUAAAACGGGUACGGCCCGCCAGAGGACCCCUAAACUCUGUUUCUAUAUGUAACUUCUGAGUAAAACCAUAAAUAAAUCA
Molecule: unclassified non-coding RNA, 148 nt
Filed under: soil metagenome
Description: partial internal transcribed spacer 1
Source: RNAcentral